UUUACCCAGGUGUUCUGUUUAGAAUGGUGUUUUCCCCAGGUGUUCUGUUUAGAAUGGUGUUUUCCCCAGGUGUUCUGUUUAGAAUGGUGUUUUCCCCAGGUGUUCUGUUUAGAAUGGUGUUUUCCCCAGGUGUUCUGUUUAGAAUGGUGUUUUCCCCAGGUGUUCUGUUUAGAAUGGUGUUUUCCCCAGGUGUUCUGUUUAGAAUGGUGUUUUCCCCAGGUGUUCUGUUUAGAAUGGUGUUUUCCCCAGGUGUUCUGUUUAGAAUGGUGUUUUCCCCAGGUGUUCUGUUUAGAAUGGUGUUUCCCCC
Molecule: long non-coding RNA, 307 nt
Organism: Oncorhynchus keta (chum salmon)
Lineage: Eukaryota; Metazoa; Chordata; Actinopteri; Salmoniformes; Salmonidae
Exons: 3
Source: RefSeq, a predicted model, not a curated record